RNAcentral lists this ribosomal RNA (442 nucleotides) under uncultured bacterium. RNAcentral describes it as "partial 16S ribosomal RNA". It matches the Rfam family "Bacterial small subunit ribosomal RNA", at positions 338 to 795 of the family's 1533-position model. The record is from RNAcentral.
CCUACGGGGGGCAGCAGUGGGGAAUAUUGGGCAAUGGGCGCAAGCCUGACCCAGCAACGCCGCGUGAAGGAAGAAGGCUUUCGGGUUGUAAACUUCUUUUGUCAGGGAAGAGUAGAAGACGGUACCUGAGGAAUAAGCCACGGCUAACUACGUGCCAGCAGCCGCGGUAAUACGUAGGUGGCAAGCGUUAUCCGGAUUUACUGGGUGUAAAGGGCGUGUAGGCGGGACUGCAAGUCAGAUGUGAAAACCACGGGCUCAACCUGUGGCCUGCAUUUGAAACUGUAGUUCUUGAGUACUGGAGAGGCAGACGGAAUUCCUAGUGUAGCGGUGAAAUGCGUAGAUAUUAGGAGGAACACCAGUGGCGAAGGCGGUCUGCUGGACAGCAACUGACGCUGAGGCGCGAAAGCGUGGGGAGCAAACAGGAUUAGAUACCCGGGUAGUC